RNAcentral lists this non-coding RNA (98 nucleotides) under uncultured Methylophaga sp. The record is from RNAcentral. Lineage: Bacteria; Pseudomonadati; Pseudomonadota; Gammaproteobacteria; Thiotrichales; Piscirickettsiaceae.
CGACAACGAUUUUCCGUUAGCGUCAGACAAAUCAAACCACGCCCAAACCGUGCCAUAAAAUUAAUGGCAUCUGGUGUGACUUUUUCUGCAGCCAUAAU